RNAcentral lists this ribosomal RNA (887 nucleotides) under uncultured bacterium. Its description in RNAcentral is "bacterial SSU rRNA". It matches the Rfam family "Bacterial small subunit ribosomal RNA", at positions 9 to 917 of the family's 1533-position model. The record is from RNAcentral.
GAGUUUGAUCAUGGCUCAGGAUGAACGCUAGCCGGCGUGCUUUAUGCAUGCAAGUCGAACGGCCCUGAUUUAUCAGGGCAGUGGCAAACGGGUGAGUAACACGUAAGUAACCUGCCCUUAAGUGGGGUACAACUCCGGGAAACCGGGGCUAAUACCGCAUGUGGUGGUGGAGCUCAAGUUCUAUCACUAAAGCCUUCGGGCGCUUGAGGAUGGGCUUGCGGACGAUUAGCUUGUUGGUGAGGUAAUGGCCCACCAAGGCUAUGAUCGAUAGCUGGUCUGAGAGGACGAUCAGCCACAUUGGGACUGAGACACGGCCCAGACUCCUACGGGAGGCAGCAGCAAGGAAUUUUGGGCAAUGGGCGAAAGCCUGACCCAGCAACGUCGCGUGGGGGAUGAAGGCUCUCGGGUUGUAACCCCCUUUUCCCAGGGAAGGAAUAAUGACGGUACCUGGGGAAUAAGUCUCGGCUAACUACGUGCCAGCAGCCGCGGUAAUACGUAGGAGGCGAGCGUUAUCCGGAUUUACUGGGCGUAAAGAGGGCGUAGGCGGUCCUUCAAGUCGGAUGUGAAAUCUCCCGGCUCAACUGGGAGGGGUCAUUCGAUACUGAUGGACUAGAGUGCAGCAGGGGGAGACGGAAUUCCCGGUGUAUUGGUGAUAUGCGUAGAUACCGGGAGGAACACCAGAGGCGAAGGCGGUCUCCCAGGCUGUUUCUGACGCUGAGGCCCGAAAGCGUGGGGAACGAACAGGAUUAGAUACCCUGGUAGUCCACGCUGUAAACGAUGGACACUAGGUAUAGGGAGUAUCGACCCUCUCUGUGCCGAAGCUAACGCUUUAAGUGUCCCGCCUGGGGACUACGGCCGCAAGGCUAAAACUCAAAGGAAUUGACGGG